This 17-nucleotide ribosomal RNA is filed under the name Debaryomyces hansenii var. hansenii. RNAcentral's name for it is "partial 28S ribosomal RNA". The record is from RNAcentral. Lineage: Eukaryota; Fungi; Ascomycota; Pichiomycetes; Serinales; Debaryomycetaceae.
UUGACCUCAAUCAGGUA